RNAcentral lists this ribosomal RNA (301 nucleotides) under uncultured bacterium. Its description in RNAcentral is "partial 16S ribosomal RNA". It matches the Rfam family "Bacterial small subunit ribosomal RNA", at positions 509 to 807 of the family's 1533-position model. The record is from RNAcentral.
CAGUAGCCGCGGUAAAACGAAGGGUGCAAGCGUUAAUCGGAAUUACUGGGCGUAAAGCGUGCGUAGGCGGUGAGUUAAGUCUGCUGUGAAAUCCCCGGGCUCAACCUGGGAAUGGCAGUGGAUACUGGCUCGCUAGAGUGUGUCAGAGGAUGGUGGAAUUCCCGGUGUAGCGGUGAAAUGCGUAGAGAUCGGGAGGAACAUCAGUGGCGAAGGCGGCCAUCUGGGACAACACUGACGCUGAGGCACGAAAGCGUGGGGAGCAAACAGGAUUAGAUACCCCAGUAGUCCCUGUCUCUUAUAC